GAUCAUGGCUCAGGAUGAACGCUAGCUACAGGCUUAACACAUGCAAGUCGAGGGGAAACGGAUAUUGGAAGCUUGCUUCCGAUAGGCGUCGACCGGCGCACGGGUGAGUAACGCGUAUCCAACCUGCCCACCACGUUGGGGAUAACCUUGCGAAAGUAAGACUAAUGCCCAAUGAUAUCCCACGAAGGCAUCCGAAUGGGAUUAAAGAUUUAAUCGGUGAUGGAUGGGGAUGCGUCUGAUUAG
This 243-nucleotide ribosomal RNA is filed under the name uncultured bacterium. RNAcentral describes it as "partial 16S ribosomal RNA". It matches the Rfam family "Bacterial small subunit ribosomal RNA", at positions 15 to 244 of the family's 1533-position model. The record is from RNAcentral.